RNAcentral lists this unclassified non-coding RNA (2661 nucleotides) under Bactrocera latifrons. RNAcentral's name for it is "ankyrin repeat domain-containing protein 13D, transcript variant X2". Lineage: Eukaryota; Metazoa; Arthropoda; Insecta; Diptera; Tephritidae. The record is from RNAcentral.
AUUGACAGACGGUCAGUACCACGGUAGAGGAGGUCAGUACAGCGAAGAAUGCAUUAUCAAUUGACAAAUAUAGAGUAGAAAGGAAAUUAACUUUUUCUGAUUUACCAGAGGAAUUAUAAAUAUAAGAGUCCAUAUUGGAAACAUAUAGUCCAGAAGGGGAACUAAUUUUGUUUCUGGUCAUGAAAACAUUGGAGGAUAUUGAAAAUGAAUUUCCCCUGCACUGGCUGGUGUGGAUCAACAACGUAGAUGAGUUAAAACGGGUGUUGAAAACGGAAACGAUCGACAAAGAAAAAGUCGAUAAUCGUGGGAGAACACCUUUAAUGUUAGCGGUAAAAUUAUCCCAUUUACAAUGUGUGAAGUGCCUUUUAGCAGCAAAAUGUAACGCCAGCUUUGAACAUGAGGGAUGGUCAGUUGUCCAAGAAGCCGUUUGUUCAGGAGAUGAAGCUAUAUUGACGGCUAUCAUAGAAGUCCGCGAUUUGCAACGUCAUGUUCAACGGGUAACGCACGUACCGAAACUGCUGCAGCACUUAUUAGACGCUCCUGAUUUCUACAUUGAAAUGAAAUGGGAAUUUACAUCUUGGGUACCCCUAAUGUCUCGUCUUUGUCCUAGUGACACAUACAAAGUUUAUAAACGUGGCGCGAAUGUCCGAAUCGAUACCACACUGCUUGGCUUUGAUAACAAUACUUGGCAACGAGGGAAUCGCUCCUAUAUUUUCAAAGGAGCAAAAGACUCUGCCGUAAUGAUUGAAAUCGAUCAUGACACUCAUGAAGUCAUGGAGGAACAAAUGAAUAGUGAUAUAGGAGAUAUUGUGGCAAUUCCACCCCCAAUUGGAGCUGUCCGUGCUAGGCUUAAUGCGCCUGUUAUUACGAACAACAUUGAAAUGGAUAAGAUAAGCUUUGAACGCAAUAAAUCAGGGAUUUGGGGCUGGCGUAGUGAAAAGUCCGAGAUGAUAAACGGAUAUAAUUGCAAAGUGUAUGGUGCGAGCAAUGUUGAGUUUAUAACACGCACCCGAAUGGAUCAUUUGAAUGAAGAGCAAAUAAAGAAUAAAUGUGCGCGCACGCCAUUGCAUAGCUUUUUAGGUAUUUCUGAUGAUGAAGUUUCCAGUACACGCUCUAAUGAAGGAAUAAAUUCCAAAGAUCGGACACCCUCUCCCUCCUUUGAAACAUUGGGUCGUGAGGAAUGUCUUGAAAAUAGUACAGGAGAAGAGAAUGCUAGUUGUAGUUCAGGUACUACUUCACCUAAGUUCGUUAUUACUCCAGAGGCGUACUUUUCUGUCGAUGUUGAUUUAAAUGGAUGCGACAUUGGGCGUCCCAAGAAAGUCACAACUAAGGUUCAGAGAUUUAAGGCUAAUUUAUGGCUUUCCGAAGAGUAUCCUAUGCGAUUGCAAGAACAAGUUCUUCCUAUAUUGGAUUUGAUGUCAACAAUGGCGAGUCCACAUGUCUCCAAAUUGAAAGACUUUAUUACCAUGCAGCUGCCAUCGGGUUUCCCUGUAAAAGUUGAAAUACCUCUAUUCCAUGUCUUAAAUGCAUGUAUUACAUUUGGCAAUGUAUUUGGUAUGACAAGCGCUGUAGAAAAUGUAACGACUAUUAACGAAGACGAUCGCAUAACCUGCAUUGUGGAUGACCGCUGCUUUGAUAUACCAACCCAUUAUUCCAAUAGAGAUGUGGACUUACGACGACAAUUACCUUUGGAGGAAGAUGAUAUGUUACAAUACGCCAUUGAACAAAGCAUGGUACAAACCACGAACAGAGCUGCUUCUAUACAAAAUAUUACAGAGGAUACGGAUAAAGUGGAUAUAUGGGAAGCAUUACGUGGGCAAGGAACCGAUGGAGUUCCAGAUGAAGACGAACAGUUACAGAGAGUUCUACAGGAGUCAUUAUGCGGUGCAGUACAUACCACUGACUCCCCAGUGAUAGACGAUGAUGAUGGCGGUUUUCGAUACGUGGAUCCUGAUUUAGCAAUGGCUUUGCGCCUUAGCCGUCAUGAUCAGGAAGAAUAUGAAUUGGCUUUGCAGCGAGAACAAGAAAUGCUUGAGCAGGCCUUGAAGUUGAGUCUGCAAGAGAACUAAUUUUCUGUUUUUUUUUUUCGUGCAUUCACUUGUGGAAGGAAAAACUAACAAAUUUAAUAAACUGAAUUCUCGUGUAUUUCCAGCGAUUAUAAACAGCUACCUAAUCGGGGGCGGAGAGGUGAUAACAAAAGUUUUUGUUGAAUACAAGUGUUUGUAAAUUAUUAUAAAAAAAAUUGAUAAAACAUAUUAAAAUUUGGAACAAAAUUAAUGUAUAAAUAACAUCCAUAUUCGUUGAUUCGCCUUAAUUUAAAAUAAAUACUUCGCCAUUUAUUUAAACAUAGGCCUCUUACAAUCCCAAAACAUGUAUGUUUGUCCCGGCUUUUCGUGGGAACUGAAUAGUCAAGCAAUCCGGAGGUUGCCAUCACCUCCUUUUAAUAAAACUUUAUUAUAAGCGUAUAAGAGUGCUUUGUGAAUUCUAAAAUGUUUAUCAAUUGAACUGAAAGUAUUUUAGGUAUAAAACUUAAUGAAUAAAGCAGUAGAGAUAUACAUGAUGAAAAUACUACAUUAAAUCCACUGUAUACAUAACAUAACCUAAUAAGAAAAUUAGAUGUUAAUGAUUUUGUUAAUAAAUAAAAUAUGCAAUAUAAAUUAA